UGCUAUCUAUGCAAGAGGAGUAGACAAAGUCUUGCAAAUAGAGUUGCAGAGGAUGAGUUUGUGCUGAAGUGUGCUCAGUGCUGGAGAGAGCACUGCUUGCCUAGCUCAGGGGAGUUUUCAGAUCAUCACCACUUCUUUUCUCCAAAGGGGAAAAGGACUUUGAAGCAUUCCCAGAAGAGGACCAAGCUUUGCCUUCCCUCUCGCUUCUGCGUGCUCCCAAGGCUCCUCUCAUCCCUCCCUCAGUUUGCAGUGCGGCUUUGUCUCUCUUCAUUGCUCUCAAGGUCAUCAUUGAUCAGAUUGCGAGUGCUUUACAGCUGCAGCCUUGGAUGGGCAGAAAGAGAAAUUGAUUGCAGUCAAUUCAGCAGCAGAUUGAACUGUAUUGACUUGUCCCCUAUUCAUGCAGACGAGGAGCUUUGCUACCUUUUAAUUACCACAGCUAUCCCUUCUUGGCAUCAGUGGGAUGGUUGCACAGGAGUGGAGGAGUUUAUAGGGUCUUGAGGAGAUGCUUUAUGGUGUGCUGGGCUUUUUUGUGAUUCAUCAGGACCAUAUGAGAGAGCCUCUGGCUGGUGAGGGAAUCCCAGUGAUCCAGUCUUCUUGCCUGUGUACAGUGCCUAUCCCUGGAGGAGUCUGCCACUGGGAGUGACUUUUAUUUUCCACUGUGGAAGCCAGCCAUUUUCAAGAAAGUGGCACUCUGCUGAAGAAACAGCAGCCGCAGGUGGUAUAAAGGUUAUUCCUUUGAGCUGGGCACACUUAGCAGGAAAGGCAGAGGAUCAUUUGGCAGAAGUCACAUUGAGAAAUGUUGCUCCCACUCUCCCUGCCUUUGUCUCAGCACACAGAGGAGUGAUGUGCAGCUGCAAGCUUUCUCUAACAGCUGGAUGAACCAAUCUCCUGAUUAGCAAGUCCUUGGGCCAAAUCAUGAAUUCUUGGCUUGAGGGAGAAGAUCUGGUUUUGUGGCUUUUGCUUGCAUCUAGGGAUCAGGAGAGACUGGAAUGCAUUCAGCUGACCCCUGCAGAAAACAAGAUGUACAUGAGUGAUUUCCAUGGAGCCACUCGGGCUUCUCACCCUGGGUUCUGCUUCUGGCUCUGUCCAUGGGCUUGCAGGCUCUGUCGGCUCUAGCACAGUAAUUUGUUGCUAUCAUAGAAAGUGCACUUGGCAUUUCUGAAAGGUGCAGGAUUGGCAGCUUCAGAAGACUGAAAUUCUCUGUUCAUCUGCUGAAUUGAUGCCAAUAGCACCAGCACGAAGAAUGAGAGAAGAGCAGCGAUUCCAGCAGGGCUGGUGAAUAACCUUUUUGUUGUUGUAAAAUGCAAAAGUUUUUUUUAAAAAAAAAGCAGAACAACAAAAUGAUGUUCAUCUGGGGCCAGAGAGAGUAACUUUUUUGACUGUUGAAACUAGUCUGAGUAAGACAAUGACAUAAAAGGAAACAUCAAAAGUCAUUUCAAAACAGAGUUAAAAAUCCACAUUUUAGAGAAGUGGAAAAAGUUCAUUUCCACCCACACACACUUCUGAUGCUUCUUCUACUAUUCCCUUUUCCUCCAGAGCAGAUCAGAAUUUCUGCAAAGUGUUUUGGUGUGACCAAGUACUUUUAUCUUCCUGCCCAAAAUUCUUGUUUCUUCUCUAGACUCCAGGACUUCCUGGGGCUGGACCUGGCCCUUGUAAGUGUGCUCACCCCAGGCUGGGUCUGUGCACUGCAUGUUUGGUCACUGGAAGCUGGGCAAGGCCAGCAACUGAACCUAUGAAAUGCCAUCAGCUGCCUACAGGUACAAGCUACAGAUUUCCCUGGAAGCCAGAUGGGUGAUCUGUAAGACGCUUUCCUAGACCUUUCCACUUAAUGUGGGAUAUUUUUCCUAACUGAUGAGAUAGACAAUGGUGUAGGGACCCUGACUUAGCAGGCCCAGGGAACACACCUUUUUCAACUAUCUGCCAAAAGUAACAAUCUACUUCUCAGUACCUUUAUCUGCUGCAAAAGUAGGCGGGAUGUUCAAUCUAUAUGUAGAAUCCUUCGGUUGGAAGGGACCUUCAGGGAUCAUCUAGUCCAACUACCUGACUGCUUCAGGGCUAACCAAAAGUUAAAGCAUAUUAAUGGUAUUAUCACAUCCUGAACUCUUACAUGCAUGGGGCAUUAGGUGUUGCUUUCCAAGUGAUCUUUGUAUGGAAGUUAUCCAUUGGCUUAAUAACAAAUCCUCUGGAUUAAAUAAAAUGAAUUCAACCUUGUAAUCUUGCUUCCA
Long non-coding RNA from Anser cygnoides (Swan goose), 2225 nucleotides. NCBI's taxonomy places the organism in Eukaryota, Metazoa, Chordata, Aves, Anseriformes, Anatidae. The record is from Ensembl.